RNAcentral lists this unclassified non-coding RNA (1590 nucleotides) under Leishmania donovani. RNAcentral's name for it is "gene:LdHU3.25.2990(CDS-product:hypothetical_prote in_conserved)". The record is from RNAcentral. Lineage: Eukaryota; Euglenozoa; Kinetoplastea; Trypanosomatida; Trypanosomatidae.
UAUCUUUACCGUCGCUGCCUACCUUCCUCCUUUCCUCUCUACUCUCUGCAAUUGUUACAGUCAUCUACUUCACCUUCGCCGGGCCGCGCCUUUACCCGCUGGGUUUGGGUGUUUUGCUGUUCUUACUGAGCGCUCCCCAUCCCACACUCGCCGCCGCCCUCUCUCUGCCUGCUUGGCGAUUUGUCUGUCCACUGCAUUAGACGGGAAAGAGAGAGGAUAGUACCGCCCUUGCGCACACGCGCGCUUUCGCUCAAGAAGUCGGACCAUUACCGCGGCACGCCAUCUGUAUCAUAAGCCUCAAAGAUAGCAGCAGCCAUGAAGGCGGCACAGGCCAAGGCAGUAGGCAUGCCGAAAGACGGUUUCUGGAUCGAGAAGUGCGUCGGGAAUGCAGCUGUUAUCUACUCCAAGGACACUACCGACCGCUUGACUGACCUUGCUGGCGCACUGCUGGUUAUGUGCAUCUCUGUGUACUUCACCGUUGGCGGAUACCUGUUCUACCGUGAAAUCGUUCUGAGCGAGUAGCCGAUAGAAGAGAGAGAUUUUGUUUGAAAGGAAUUGGACGAAGGCAGUGUGAGGGGGGGGGCGGGCGGGAGAAACACACCUGGAGGGCAAUCACUAGCGGCGUAUCGCACUCUGGUUGCUGCAGUCUUACGACGGAGUUGCACUGCCUCUGCUUCCACACCCCUUUUCCCAUCUCCCUCUUUCCACUGCCAAAAGCGAGUAACGUUUCCGCCACAUCCAUUCCGCCGCCUCCCCUCCCCUCCCCCUCGGCACACACACACUCGCAAAAAAGUCCAAAGAUCAAUAUUUGUGCGCGCGCUGCUCCCUCCUCAUUCUCUGUUCGGUUUCCUUGUCUCUCUUCUUCUUUCCCGCUGUCUAAGCUCAUUCCGUUUCUGUCCCUCUAACAUGUGCCCGUGUGCCUGGUGGAGAGAGGGGAGGGGGCAUGGCGUGACAUGGCAUGAGUUUUUCUUCUCAUCUGCGCAUAGCGAUAUGUUUCAUGCCAUGUCUUUCAUCCCCCACUCGCUCCUGUCGACUGUUCCCUUCUUAACGUUUGCUGCGCACUGCCGCAGUCUAGGGAUCCGCACCUCUGCCCUCUCUCUUCUCUGUCUCUUGAGCCAUUGAGGUGAUCCACUACCCCCUCACAUCUUUGUGUUCGACUUUUUGCAUCCAGAGGUCUUUGUCCUUCGCCCACGACGUCUUCUACCUGAUUCAUCUCUGGGAAGGUGGUUGGCAUGUCUGUGUAUGCAUGCGUGUGUCCGUUGCUCUCCCUGUUUAAGUGCGUCCAUGUCUUGGCCACUCUGGUGUUUCCUCGGCGAUACAGACGCAGUGAUGUUUGCCCACAGCUGCGCAUUCGCACAACGCCUCGUCCCCACUCCGCGUUGGUGGCAGGGCCGGAAGCUCCUCUGAGGAGGAGCAGGGGAGAGGAAACGUGGCGGUGCAUUGUUAAUUGGCGAUGAUCGUUGCCGCAAACACACACACACACACAAAACCGCCAAGAGAUGUGUAGAAGCUGGGGGAUUCGCGACCCUACGAAGAUGCGUGAGAUAACGGUGGCUCUUCUGAGAGAGGUGCAAAAGCAACUGAACCCGC